AAAGGGGAUUAGGGUUAAGUGACCUUUAGAUUCUUCUCUUCUCCCUCUCACGGUCGUGAAGCAGCAACGGCGCCGCCGGGAAAAGCCUUUCUCCUCCAAUGGAACCUCUCAUCUAUCUCUGGUCUCCACGCGUUCUCAAUCUCUCUCUCUUCUCAAAUCCCAGGUUCUCUCUCGGUUCUCUCUGAUCAAUUGAAAUCACGCCUCAACAAGAACAGAACACGCUAAAAACGAAGGUCACCACUCAGUUGUUGAUACGUGGAUGAAGUUGAUGCGGGUUGAAGGUUCCUUCUGAGUUUGUGAAGACUUGAAGGAUCGAUCGAAGAAGAUGAAGAGGGGAUGCCGUUUUCUUUGAAGGUUUCAUUGAGUUGUUUGAUUCUGCAGUCUGAGAUUGAUCAUUUGACAGCCCUUAUGCAGUCAAGGACUGUAGAUGCACCUAUUAGGGGAGAAGAUGGAGAAACUUCAAAGUACUGUUGAUCUUGUUCAAAAUAGCUUGAACUUAGAGGUGAUCUAUGGGGAUACAGAUUCAAUAAUGAUUUACAGUGGGCUAGAUGAUAUUGCAAAAGCAACUUCAAUAGCUAAGAAAGUUAUUCAAGAGGUAAGGUUUGACUGUU
Molecule: long non-coding RNA, 611 nt
Organism: Vicia villosa (hairy vetch)
Lineage: Eukaryota; Viridiplantae; Streptophyta; Magnoliopsida; Fabales; Fabaceae
Exons: 4
Source: RefSeq, a predicted model, not a curated record